UUUGUUGUAAGUUGCAGUGAUUCUGCCGAGGGCUUUCCAAGACUGCAGGUCCCUCAGUGUCGAAGCAAAAAUUGCACCCAAUGAAGUUAAAGAGCCCUGACACCUGACAAUUCUUCCUUUAUAG
Molecule: long non-coding RNA, 124 nt
Organism: Ailuropoda melanoleuca (giant panda)
Lineage: Eukaryota; Metazoa; Chordata; Mammalia; Carnivora; Ursidae
Exons: 3
Source: RefSeq, a predicted model, not a curated record